RNAcentral lists this ribosomal RNA (468 nucleotides) under uncultured bacterium. RNAcentral describes it as "partial 16S ribosomal RNA". It matches the Rfam family "Bacterial small subunit ribosomal RNA", at positions 28 to 507 of the family's 1533-position model. The record is from RNAcentral.
GACGAACGCUGGCGGCGUGCUUAACACAUGCAAGUCGAACGGACAGGCCCUGCUUUUGUGGGGUGCUCGAGUGGCGAACGGGUGAGUAACACGUGAGUAACCUGCCCUUGACUUUGGGAUAACUUCUGGAAACUGGGGCUAAUACCGGAUAGGAGCUCCUGCUGCAUGUUGGGGGUUGGAAAGUUUCGGCGGUUGGGGAUGGACUCGCGGCUUAUCCGCUUGUUUGUGAGGUAGUGGUUUACCAAGGGUUUGACGGGUAGCCGGCCUGAGAGGGUGACCGGCGACAUGGGGACUGAGAUACGGACCAGAAGCCUACGGGACGCAGCAGUGGGAAAUAUUGCACAGUGGGCGGAAGCCUGAUGCAGCAACGCCGCGUGCGGGAUGACGGCCUUCGAGUUAUAAACCGCUUUCGCCUGUGACGAAGCGUGAGUGACGGUAAUGGGUAAGGAAGCACCGGCUAACUACGUG